UUUUUUGUAGUCCAAGUUCAGCUAUUCCGAAGUUGCAAGUAAACGAGUAAAAGUGUUCUAGCGUGUAUUAACGCACAUGAUUCCUUACAGAGCCUCUUUUAAGUGUCUGAUUAAAUCUUACCUGAGCGCUUCAUCAAUGUCCGCAAGCGGGAUUUAACGAAAGACUUCGUCUGAUUGAGGCGUCAAUUCAGUCUCUCUACUGAAACAAGGGACACAGCAAAGCGACAUUCGUUAUUGACAAGCAGAAGAAGAAAAAACCUUCAGGUCCGUGUUAAAGACAAGCGCUCACAAGAUGAUGCUACCAUGAGCCAUAGCAACAUCAUCUGUACCUCAUCUUGAAUGGCAGUCAGAAAGCAGGUUGUGACAGUUCAUCAUGAGACAGAAUCUGUGAAAAGAUCGAUCUCCUCCACGUUUUCCCUGGGCUACUACCGCCAACUCCAGAAAUGCACCGCUCCCGACGAAAAACAACCAAUCAGACGAAUCUAAAGAACUCACGGGACAGAUUACCUUUACACGUAACAGCAACAUGCAAAUUAACAAGAUGCAUAUGUGUGGUUUUUAUUUUCAUCCAUAUAAUUCCAUGUAUGUGUAAGCAGUUGCGUAGAGGAAGCAUGAAACUUCUGGGAUGUUUUGAUUUUUGCUUUGCUUUUGCUCUUUGUCAUAA
Long non-coding RNA from Poecilia reticulata (guppy), 664 nucleotides. RefSeq lists it as uncharacterized. The record is from RefSeq and is a predicted model, not a curated record. Lineage: Eukaryota; Metazoa; Chordata; Actinopteri; Cyprinodontiformes; Poeciliidae.